UGGGGAAUUUUGGACAAUGGGCGAAAGCCUGAUCCAGCAAUGCCGCGUGUGUGAAGAAGGCCUUCGGGUUGUAAAGCACUUUUGUCCGGAAAGAAAAUCCUUGGCUCUAAUACAGUCGGGGGAUGACGGUACCGGAAGAAUAAGCACCGGCUAACUACGUGCCAGCAGCCGCGGUAAUACGGUAGGGUGCAAGCGUUAAUCGGAAUUACUGGGCGUAAAGCGUGCGCAGGCGGUUUGCUAAGACCGAUGUGAAAUCCCCGGGCUCAACCUGGGAACUGCAUUGGUGACUGGCAGGCUAGAGUAUGGCAGAGGGGGGUAGAAUUCCACGUNUAGCAGUGAAAAUGCGUAGAGAUGUGGAGGAAAUACCGAUGGCGAAGCAGCCCCCUGGGCAAAUACUGACGCUCAUGCACGAAAAGCGUGGGGAGCAAAACAGGAUUAGAUACCCCUGGUAGUCCACGCCCUAAAACGAUGUCAACUAGUUGUU
This 484-nucleotide ribosomal RNA is filed under the name uncultured bacterium. RNAcentral describes it as "partial 16S ribosomal RNA". It matches the Rfam family "Bacterial small subunit ribosomal RNA", at positions 355 to 824 of the family's 1533-position model. The record is from RNAcentral.